CCUACGGGUGGCUGCAGUAGGGAAUAUUGCUCAAUGGGGGAAACCCUGAAGCAGCAACGCCGCGUGGAGGAUGCAUGUUUUCGGAUUGUAAACUCCUUUUGUUAGAGCGGAUAAUGACGGUACCUAACGAAUAAGCACCGGCUAACUCCGUGCCAGCAGCCGCGGUAAUACGGAGGGUGCAAGCGUUACCCGGAAUCACUGGGCGUAAAGAGCGCGUAGGCGGGAUAGCAAGUCAGAUGUGAAAUCCUAUGGCUUAACCAUAGAACUGCAUUUGAAACUGUUAUUCUAGAGUAUGGGAGAGGUAGGUGGAAUUCUUGGUGUAGGGGUAAAAUGCGUAGAGAUCAAGAGGAAUACUGAUUGCGAAGGCGACCUACUGGAACAUAACUGACGCUGAUGAGCGAAAGCGUGGGGAGCAAACAGGAUUAGAUACCCUUGUAGUC
RNAcentral lists this ribosomal RNA (440 nucleotides) under uncultured bacterium. Its description in RNAcentral is "partial 16S ribosomal RNA". It matches the Rfam family "Bacterial small subunit ribosomal RNA", at positions 338 to 795 of the family's 1533-position model. The record is from RNAcentral.